AUUGAACGCUGGCGGCAUGCUUUACACAUGCAAGUCGAACGGCAGCGGGGAGGAGCUUGCUUCUCUGCCGGCGAGUGGCGAACGGGUGAGUAAUACAUCGGAACGUGUCGAGAAGAGGGGGAUAACCACCCGAAAGGGUGGCUAAUACCGCAUAAAUUCUGAGGAAGAAAGCUGGGGACCUAGGAAUAGGCCUAGCGCUUUUUGAGCGGCCGAUGUCGGAUUAGCUAGUUGGUGAGGUAAAGGCUCACCAAGGCGAAGAUCUGUAGCGGGUCUGAGAGGAUGAUCCGCCACACUGGGACUGAGACACGGCCCAGACUCCUACGGGAGGCAGCAGUGGGGAAUUUUGGACAAUGGGGCAACCCUGAUCCAGCCAUGCCGCGUGUAUGAAGAAGGCCUUAGGGUUGUAAAGUACUUUUGUUAGGGAAGAAAAGUCAGCUGUGAAUAAUGGCUGAUACUGACGGUACCUAAAGAAUAAGCACCGGCUAACUACGUG
RNAcentral lists this ribosomal RNA (493 nucleotides) under uncultured bacterium. RNAcentral's name for it is "partial 16S ribosomal RNA". It matches the Rfam family "Bacterial small subunit ribosomal RNA", at positions 30 to 507 of the family's 1533-position model. The record is from RNAcentral.